UCGCUUGUCUCAAAGAUUAAGCCAUGCAUGUCGUAGUACUUGCUUUUCCUUACGAAUGAGCGAAACCGCGGACGGCUCAUUAAAUCGGUUACGGUUCACUCGCCCGUCCGCGUCCUGCUUUGUCAGGGCGUAGUCGGAUAACUGUGGUAAUUCUAGAGCUAAUACGUGCAACUUACGGCUUCCGAGAAAAUCGGGGGCUGGCAUUUAUUAGUCUGGCGUGCGCGGCCUUUAAGGUUUCGCGCGCCUGACGGCUCUGAAUAACGGUGGCGGAUCGUCCUCUUCUGAGGACGACCGGGCUUUUGAGUGUCCGCCUUAUCAACUUUCGACGGUAGGUUCAGCGCCUACCGUGGUGGUUACGGGUGACGGGGAAUCAGGGUUCGAUUCCGGAGAGGGASCCUGAAAGACGGCUACCACAUCCAAGGAAGGCAGCAGGCACGCAAAUUACCCACUCUCCGAAAGAGAGGAGGUAGUGACGAAAAAUAACGAUACGGGACUCUUAACGAGGCCUCGUAAUCGGAAUGAGACCGCUUCAAAUCCUCGAGACGAGGAUCUAUCGGAGGGCAAGUCUGGUGCCAGCAGCCGCGGUAAUUCCAGCUCCGAUAGCGUAUAUUAAAGUCGCUGCGGUUAAAAAGCUCGUAGUUGGAUUUGGGUCGACCGGGCCGUCGGGCCGCCGCCUCCGUGCGGCGAGUUCCCGUGCGUCCCCGGGACCGCACGUUCACCCCCGCGGUGCUCUUGACUGAGUGUCCGCGGUAGCGGGUGACCGAACGUUUACCUUGACAAAACCGGAGUGCUCGAGGCGUGGGCGUUCGCCGCCCGUACGUCCUCGCUGGGAAUAAUGGAAGAGGACCGUUGGUCAAAAAAGGUUUUUCGUCAGAGAGGUUGGAGAGCAAAAAGGAGGUUGUGCUGGCGGGGGGUUUACAAAGGGGGGUAACUCCCUUUCCCCCUCUGGUCUUCCUCCUUCUCCUCCUCGAAACCUUCCUCCCCGCGUACCGCACUGGGGAUCGGUUUGCGCUUUUCGGCGGAAAGGGCGGUUUGAGACAGAAGGGUGAAAGCAGGUGGCCGUUUGCCGGAUGGCGAAAGCUGGACGGCCGGUCGUUUGUGGAAGCCUGGAAUCUUAUUCCCCCUCACUGUCGUGGUGCUUCCGUACCCUUGGUGUCAGCGGGAGGAGGUCGAAAAUCAAAAUAAAUAUGACGUGUCAUGAUUAAGAGGGACGGCCGGGGGCAUUCGUACCGCGGCGCGAGAGGUGAAAUUCUAGGACCGUCGCGAGACGAACGAUAGCGAAAGCAUUUGCCAAGAAUGUUNNNNNNNNNNNNNNNNNNNNNNNNNNNNNNNNAAGGCGAUCAGAUACCGCCCUAGUUCCGACCUUAAACCAUGCCGUCCGACCGCCCGCCAGGGUUACUACCGCGACUCGGCGGGCGGUGACUUUCCACCGGGAAACCCUUAAGCUUUCGGGUUCCGGGGGAAGUACGGUCGCAAAGCUGAAACUUAAAGGAAUUGACGGAAGGGCACCACCAGGAGUGGAGCCUGCGGCUUAAUUUGACUCAACACGGGGAACCUCACCCGGCCCGGACACCGCGAGGAUUGACAGAUCGAUAGCUCUUUCUCGAUCCGGUGGGUGGUGGUGCAUGGCCGUUCUUAGUUGGUGGAGCGAUCUGUCUGGUUAAUUCCGAUAACGAACGAGACUCUAGCCGGUUAAGUAGCCCGAGUGGCGUGUUGUUGAUUUAAAAACCGCCCUGGCGGCAUUCGGGGUGCUUCGCGGAAGCUGUCUGGCUUUAACGGUGAUGGGACGGGGAGGUGGAAGACGACGGUUUUAGCCGCGUGCGUCGCGGCUGGGAUCUAGUUUUUUUAACCUCCCUUCAAUCCUGUCUCGUUUCGGCCUUUCACUUUUGUGGGCCUCUGUUUGCUUAGCUGGGGUAGAUAAAACGCUAACGAGAGUCGGGGGGAGUGGACGUUACUCGUGGAAUGGGUGGGCGCUCCUUAGUGGUGCGUCCCUCUUCCCGGUUUCGCUUUUUCUGCUUUCCUCGUCGUCUCGCGCCACCGGCUUUCGAGUGCAAAAGCUUCUUAGAGGGACGAGCGGCGUUCAGCCGCGCGAGAUUGAGCGAUAACAGGUCUGUGAUGCCCUUAGAUGUCCGGGGCCGCACGCGCGCUACACUGAAGGGGUCAACGCGCCAUUACGUUUCCCGGGCCGAAAGGCUCGGGGAACCGGUGGAACCCCGACGUAGCGUUCGUGCUAGGGACAGGGACUUGCAAUUGUGUCCCUCGAACGAGGAAUUCCCAGUAGGCGCGAGUCAUCAGCUCGCGCCGAUUACGUCCCUGCCCUUUGUACACACCGCCCGUCGCUACUACCGAUCGAACGAUUUAGCGAGGUCUUCGGACCGGCGGCCGAAGGUGCGCGAGCGCCGGCGUUUUUCGCCGGAAAAAUGCCCGAACUUGAUCGUUUAGAGGAAGA
This 2449-nucleotide ribosomal RNA is filed under the name Macroperipatus valerioi. RNAcentral describes it as "bacterial SSU rRNA". It matches the Rfam family "Eukaryotic small subunit ribosomal RNA". The record is from RNAcentral. Lineage: Eukaryota; Metazoa; Onychophora; Udeonychophora; Euonychophora; Peripatidae.